Unclassified non-coding RNA from Callithrix jacchus (white-tufted-ear marmoset), 150 nucleotides. It matches the Rfam family "Metazoan signal recognition particle RNA". Rfam says of the family: The signal recognition particle (SRP) is a universally conserved ribonucleoprotein. It is involved in the co-translational targeting of proteins to membranes. NCBI's taxonomy places the organism in Eukaryota, Metazoa, Chordata, Mammalia, Primates, Cebidae. The record is from Ensembl.
GCUGGGUGUGGUGGCACACAUCUGUAAUCCCAGCUACUGGGGAGGCUGAGACAGGAGAAUUGCUUGAACCCAGGAGGCAGAGGCUGAAGUGAACUGAGAAGUCACAGCACUGCACUCUAGCCUGGGUGACAGAGCAAGACUCUGUCUCAA